Non-coding RNA from Triticum aestivum (bread wheat), 135 nucleotides. The record is from Rfam. Lineage: Eukaryota; Viridiplantae; Streptophyta; Magnoliopsida; Poales; Poaceae.
CAACUACUCCCUUUGUCCCAAAUUUUUUGUCUUAGAUUUGUCUAGAUACGGAUGUAUCUAGUACUAAAAUGUGACUUGAUACAUCCGUAUCUAGACAAAUCUAAGACAAGAAUUUUGGGUCGGAGGGAGUACUUU